This is a long non-coding RNA of Melanotaenia boesemani (Boeseman's rainbowfish), 489 nucleotides long. RefSeq lists it as uncharacterized. The record is from RefSeq and is a predicted model, not a curated record. The transcript has 2 exons. NCBI's taxonomy places the organism in Eukaryota, Metazoa, Chordata, Actinopteri, Atheriniformes, Melanotaeniidae.
UCUUUUUCUCCACAUACUUUAGCUGGUGAGGGAGAUGAAGAGGACACAGGUGGAUGAGGAUGAAGAGCGGAGAGGAGACGACUGGAUUUAGUCUUUAAAGUGAUGCUCCCAGAGACCUUGAUCAAAGUCCAUCAUGUCCAGAGGAAGCCGGGUUUUAGUCCAGCCUGGAGGAUGGAGGAGUGGCCGCCUACAGAGUCAUGAUGGCCAGUGGCGCCUGUUUCUAGUCCAACUCCACAUUUUCUUGAUUCAUUCUUUGUGUUUUUUCCAGUGUUUAAUGCUGAGUUUCAUUUCUCCUCCUUCUUGUAUUUGCUUUCCCUGUUUUUCUUUCCCUCGUUGUUCUAUUGUGGAAAAGUUGGAGAUGGAACAGAAUAAAAAGUUGAUCAUUAAAAAAGAAGUGUGGGUCAAGUUCUUUAUGCUGCCACUAUGAUCAUGUGCUGGUGUGUUGACCUUGAUUCCAGAAAUCAAACACAGAUAAGAUUAUACUGACAA